GGUGACUCAGUGGUAGAGUGCUUGCCUUGCAUGUAUGAGGCUCUGGGUUCGAUUCCUCAGCACCA
RNAcentral lists this transfer RNA (65 nucleotides) under Dipodomys ordii (Ord's kangaroo rat). It matches the Rfam family "tRNA". From Rfam's summary of the family: Transfer RNA (tRNA) molecules are approximately 80 nucleotides in length. Their secondary structure includes four short double-helical elements and three loops (D, anti-codon, and T loops). The record is from Rfam by way of RNAcentral. Lineage: Eukaryota; Metazoa; Chordata; Mammalia; Rodentia; Heteromyidae.